This 447-nucleotide ribosomal RNA is filed under the name uncultured bacterium. Its description in RNAcentral is "bacterial SSU rRNA". It matches the Rfam family "Bacterial small subunit ribosomal RNA", at positions 330 to 794 of the family's 1533-position model. The record is from RNAcentral.
UCCAGACUCCUACGGGAGGCAGCAGUGGGGAAUAUUGCACAAUGGGGGAAACCCUGAUGCAGCGACGCCGCGUGAGUGAAGAAGUAUUUCGGUAUGUAAAGCUCUAUCAGCAGGAACGAGACAAGACGGUACCUGACUAAGAAGCCCCGGCUAACUACGUGCCAGCAGCCGCGGUAAUACGUAGGGGGCAAGCGUUAUCCGGAUUUAUUGGGUUUAAAGGGUGCGCAGGCGGAGGCACAAGUCAGCGGUAAAAUGGGGGGGCUCAGGCCCGCUGCGCCGUUGAAACUGUGUCCCUUGAGUGCGCGAAGGGUAGGCGGAAUGCGUGGUGUAGCGGUGAAAUGCAUAGAUAUCACGCAGAACUCCGAUCGCGAAGGCAGCCUACCGGCGCGCUACUGACGCUCAUGCACGAAAGCGUGGGUAUCGAACAGGAUUAGAUACCCGAGUAAA